RNAcentral lists this ribosomal RNA (491 nucleotides) under uncultured bacterium. Its description in RNAcentral is "partial 16S ribosomal RNA". It matches the Rfam family "Bacterial small subunit ribosomal RNA", at positions 29 to 506 of the family's 1533-position model. The record is from RNAcentral.
AGUGAACGCUGGCGGUAGGCCUAACACAUGCAAGUCGAACGGCAGCACCGUAAGAGCUUGCUCUUACGGGUGGCGAGUAGCGGACGGGUGAGGCAUACAUCGGAAUCUACUUUUUCGUGGGGGAUAACGUAGGGCAACUUACGCUAAUACCGCAUACGACCUACGGCUGACAGCAGGGGAUCUUCGGACCUUGCGCGUUUGAAUUCGCCGAUGUCGGCUUAGCUAGUUGGCGGGGUAAAGGCCCACCAAGUCGACGAUCCGUAGCUGGCCUGAGAGGAUGAUCAGCCACACUGAAAGGGAGACACGGUCCAGAAAGUGACGGGAGGCAGCAGGGGAGAAUAUUGGCCAAGGCGGGCAAGCCUGAUCCAGUCAUACCGCGUGGGUGAAGAAGGCUGGCGGGGUGUAAAGCCCUUUUGUUGGGAAAGAAAAGCAGCAGGUUAAUACCCCGCCGCUCGGACGGGACCAAAAGAAUAAGCACCGGCUAACUUCGG